AUGAGCCAGCUCGCAUCCUUUUCGAGAGCCCGCGUCCUUCCCACGAACCCUACCGCUGCCCCGCUCCUCCUCCUCCCACCUCAGUCGCCUCCCCCUAGACGCCGCCGCCUCCUCCCACCUCAGUCGCNNGGGCGCCACGAGGAAUGGAAGGUUGAGUUCGUUCGACGGCCGGUGCAGCAGGAGCAAGGAGCCAACUGUGGUCAAUGGCUAACCUCUAUCUCCUCUCUCUCUCUAUGGUUGAGAAGAAGGCCAAAUAGACGAAGAAGAAUUUGGCUCGAAAGUCUUGCCAAGGGUACGAUAAAAUUAGGCACAAUGGCAAGAUCUGUAGCAUCUACUGUGAACACAAAGCGGAGAAAAGGGAUUGCUUCCUCGUCCGAUUCAUGUUUCGGCAGUGCCGUGGGGGCUGUCGAGGUAAGCUCCAUUGACCCCCACCACGGCUUGCCCUUCCAAGCUUUCCUCCUCUCUGCCAUCCACGCGGCCAUCGGUGGUGCAGUAGGGGAGGCAACUCAGGUCAGGUGA
Molecule: ribosomal RNA, 519 nt
Filed under: Triticum aestivum (bread wheat)
Lineage: Eukaryota; Viridiplantae; Streptophyta; Magnoliopsida; Poales; Poaceae
Description: partial small subunit ribosomal RNA
Source: RNAcentral